RNAcentral lists this ribosomal RNA (433 nucleotides) under uncultured bacterium. RNAcentral's name for it is "partial 16S ribosomal RNA". It matches the Rfam family "Bacterial small subunit ribosomal RNA", at positions 28 to 507 of the family's 1533-position model. The record is from RNAcentral.
GACGAACGCUGGCGGCAUGCCUAACACAUGCAAGUCGAACGAGAACUUCGGGUCUAGUGGCGCACGGGUGCGUACGGCGGGGGAACCUGCACUUAGGUUCGGAAUAACUCCCCGAAGGGGGUGCUAAUACCGGAUAAUGUCUUCGGACCAAAGAUUUAUCGCCUUGGGAUGGGCCCGCGUUGGAUUAGCUAGUUGGUAGGGUAAAAGCCUACCAAGGCGACGAUCCAUAGCUGGUCGGAGAGGAGGAUCAGCCACACUGGGACUGAGACACGGCCCAGACUCCGACGGGAGGCAGCAGUGGGGAAUAUUGGACGAUGGGCGAAAGCCUGAUACAGCAAUGCCGGGGGAGUGAUGAAGGGCGUAGGGUUGUAAAGCCCUUUUAGCCGGGACGAUAAUGACAGUACCGGGAGAAUAAGCUCCGGCUAACUCCGUG